Molecule: long non-coding RNA, 218 nt
Organism: Hevea brasiliensis (rubber tree)
Lineage: Eukaryota; Viridiplantae; Streptophyta; Magnoliopsida; Malpighiales; Euphorbiaceae
Exons: 3
Source: RefSeq, a predicted model, not a curated record
UUUUGAGACACAGAUAAACUUCGGGUGAUCGAGAUCAACUAUUUUCCUGCAUCCAGCAGCCACAAUAGUCGACGGUGUACUGCUACAGGAGGAGACAUUUUUCAGAAUAACCUGUCCCUUUCCUCUCAGGUUAUGAAAAGAUUACUUAAUUGUAUUAUUAUUCUCUAAAUUUGUAAUUUAGGACUCCGCAUGUGCUAGUAGUAGCAUUAAGCCUAUCG